CCUACGGGAGGCAGCAGUGGGGAAUCUUGGACAAUGGGCGCAAGCCUGAUCCAGCCAUGCCGCGUGAGUGAUGAAGGCCUUAGGGUCGUAAAGCUCUUUCGCCAGGGAUGAUAAUGACAGUAYCUGGUAAAGAAACCCCGGCUAACUCCGUGCCAGCAGCCGCGGUAAUACGGAGGGGGUUAGCGUUGUUCGGAAUUACUGGGCGUAAAGCGCACGUAGGCGGAUUAUWAAGUUAGAGGUGAAAUCCCGGGGCUCAACCCCGGAACUGCCUUUAAAACUGCUAGUCUUGAGUUCGAGAGAGGUGAGUGGAAUUCCGAGUGUAGAGGUGAAAUUCGUAGAUAUUCGGAGGAACACCAGUGGCGAAGGCGGCUCACUGGCUCGAUACUGACGCUGAGGUGCGAAAGUGUGGGGAGCAAACAGGAUUAGAUACCCUGGUAGUCCACACCGUAAACGAUGAAUGCCAGUCGUCGGGUAGCAUGCUAUUCGGUGACACACCUAACGGAUUAAGCAUUCCGCCUGGGGAGUACGGUCGCAAGAUUAAAACUCAAAGGAAUUGACGG
This 560-nucleotide ribosomal RNA is filed under the name uncultured Alphaproteobacteria bacterium. RNAcentral's name for it is "bacterial SSU rRNA". It matches the Rfam family "Bacterial small subunit ribosomal RNA", at positions 338 to 916 of the family's 1533-position model. Lineage: Bacteria; Pseudomonadati; Pseudomonadota; Alphaproteobacteria. The record is from RNAcentral.